UGGGGGAUAUUGCACAAUGGGCGAAAGCCUGAUGCAGCGACGCCGCGUGGGGGAUGAAGGCUUUCGGGUUGUAAACCUCUUUCGCUAUCGAACAAGGCCCGCUUAGGGUGGGUUGAGGGUAGGUGGAGAAGAAGCGCCGGCUAACUACGUGCCAGCAGCCGCGGUAAUACGUAGGGCGCGAGCGUUGUCCGGAAUUAUUGGGCGUAAAGGGCUUGUAGGCGGCUUGUUGCGCCUGCUGUGAAAACGCGGGGCUUAACUUCGCGCGUGCAGUGGGUACGGGCAGGCUUGAGUGUGGUAGGGGUGACUGGAAUUCCAGGUGUAGCGGUGGAAUGCGCAGAGAUCUGGAGGAACACCGAUGGCGAAGGCAGGUCACUGGGCCAUUACUGACGCUGAGGAGCGAAAGCAUGGGUAGAGAACAGG
RNAcentral lists this ribosomal RNA (420 nucleotides) under bacterium. RNAcentral describes it as "partial 16S ribosomal RNA". It matches the Rfam family "Bacterial small subunit ribosomal RNA", at positions 355 to 776 of the family's 1533-position model. The record is from RNAcentral.